Motacilla alba alba is the source of this 263-nucleotide long non-coding RNA. RefSeq lists it as uncharacterized. The record is from RefSeq and is a predicted model, not a curated record. NCBI's taxonomy places the organism in Eukaryota, Metazoa, Chordata, Aves, Passeriformes, Motacillidae. The transcript is spliced from 3 exons.
CCCGCACUGAGGAGCACAGGUGAGGCAAACACAACUGCAGAUCCCUCUGCAAGCACAGCUGCAACAGCCAUUCUGUGAACCUGCUCACAGGACCUCUAGGUAAAAGGCUCUGAUCUUUGUUUCCUGCAUAGGUCUGGCUUCAGCAUGGCUGGAAUGAUUGUCAUGAAUCUUAAUUCAGAAAGCACAACCUACUGUUGUAAUGAAAGAAAAUAAUCACAAGAAUCAGAAUUGAUAAUAAUGCAUCAAGAUACCUGAAUUAGACU